CCGUACUACAUUUUUUUUUCAGAAGCAGAAAAGAAGGGAAUGGUGGAAUAUGUAUUUAUCUCCAGGAUUAAAUGUGCUAACAGAUGCAAAUUGCCUAGGAUCCUAUAUGGGGUCUAUAAAUAGUAGUUCCCUUAUCUUUUCUCUGAAUUCCAUUCCGUAAUUUCUGCUGUUCCAGGAGCACCGGAGGAGACCCAUCUCCCCUGCAGACUGAAGAGAGAUUUCUUUUGAAGUGAGUUGGAUGGACGAAAAUUCUGGAUGGGUUCAAAGAUCAAAUGGUGACUAUUCUACAAAAUUAUCGUUUAGGAGAGGGCUGCUUGGAGAAGGAGCCGAGACCUUUUAUCAGAAGACACAGCCACCCUGAGGCGAUCUGGCAGGGAGAGAACUGGGGGAAUGAAUAAAUCCUUGAAGCUCAUUCUCCUUCUGCUCUGCAGUUCCUGCUGCCGCCUCCCAUCUUCCGUACCAGAAAGGAAGCUGGAGGGCCAAGGAGCCGGUCCACGCAGUCCAGAUGGGUUUUGACAGGUUAGCACCCCGGGGUA
Phyllostomus discolor (pale spear-nosed bat) is the source of this 536-nucleotide long non-coding RNA. RefSeq lists it as uncharacterized. NCBI's taxonomy places the organism in Eukaryota, Metazoa, Chordata, Mammalia, Chiroptera, Phyllostomidae. The record is from RefSeq and is a predicted model, not a curated record. The transcript has 2 exons.